CCGUAAAAUAGGUGCCAGCAGCCGCGGUAAUACGUAGGGUGCAAGCGUUGUCCGGAAUUAUUGGGCGUAAAGAGCUCGUAGGCGGUUUGUCGCGUCUGCUGUGAAAUCUGGGGGCUCAACCCCCAGCCUGCAGUGGGUACGGGCAGACUAGAGUGCGGUAGGGGAGAUUGGAAUUCCUGGUGUAGCGGUGGAAUGCGCAGAUAUCAGGAGGAACACCGAUGGCGAAGGCAGAUCUCUGGGCCGUAACUGACGCUGAGGAGCGAAAGCAUGGGGAGCGAACAGGAUUAGAUACCCUGGUAGUCCAUGCCGUAAACGUUGGGAACUAAAAGUGGGGGCCAUUCCACGGUCUCCGUGUCGCAGCUAACGCAUUAAGUUCCCCGCCUGGGGAAUACAGCCCGCAAGGGUAAAAACUCAAAGGAAUUGACGGGGGCACGCACAAACGGCGGGAGCAAUGCGGAUUAAAUCAAUGCAACGCGAAAAACCCUUAACCCAAGGCUUUGACCUAUUCCUAAAAACUUCCAAAGA
RNAcentral lists this ribosomal RNA (525 nucleotides) under Microbacteriaceae bacterium Ri1Ps_4606. Its description in RNAcentral is "bacterial SSU rRNA". It matches the Rfam family "Bacterial small subunit ribosomal RNA", at positions 494 to 1008 of the family's 1533-position model. The record is from RNAcentral. Lineage: Bacteria; Bacillati; Actinomycetota; Actinomycetes; Micrococcales; Microbacteriaceae.